UGGCGGCGAGUGGCGAACGGGUGAGUAAUACAUCGGAACGUGCCCUGUUGUGGGGGAUAACUAGUCGAAAGAUUAGCUAAUACCGCAUACGACCUGAGGGUGAAAGCGGGGGACCGGUAACGGCCUCGCGCAAUAGGAGCGGCCGAUGUCUGAUUAGCUAGUUGGUGGGGUAAAGGCCUACCAAGGCGACGAUCAGUAGCUGGUCUGAGAGGACGAUCAGCCACACUGGGACUGAGACACGGCCCAGACUCCUACGGGAGGCAGCAGUGGGGAAUUUUGGACAAUGGGGGCAACCCUGAUCCAGCAAUGCCGCGUGUGUGAAGAAGGCCUUCGGGUUGUAAAGCACUUUUGUCCGGAAAGAAAUCGCGCUGGCUAAUACCUGGCGUGGAUGACGGUACCGGAAGAAUAAGCACCGGCUAACUACGUGCCAGCAGCCGCGGUAAUACGUAGGGUGCGAGCGUUAAUCGGAAUUACUGGGCGUAAAGCGUGCGCAGGCGGUUUUGUAAGACAGGCGUGAAAUCCCCGGGCUUAACCUGGGAAUGGCGCUUGUGACUGCAAGGCUAGAGUGCGUCAGAGGGGGGUAGA
This 585-nucleotide ribosomal RNA is filed under the name Cupriavidus gilardii. RNAcentral's name for it is "bacterial SSU rRNA". It matches the Rfam family "Bacterial small subunit ribosomal RNA", at positions 86 to 665 of the family's 1533-position model. The record is from RNAcentral. Lineage: Bacteria; Pseudomonadati; Pseudomonadota; Betaproteobacteria; Burkholderiales; Burkholderiaceae.